This 20-nucleotide microRNA is filed under the name Mus musculus (house mouse). RNAcentral describes it as "mmu-miR-3113-3p". Lineage: Eukaryota; Metazoa; Chordata; Mammalia; Rodentia; Muridae. The record is from miRBase by way of RNAcentral.
UCCUGGCCCUGGUCCUGGUC